This 293-nucleotide ribosomal RNA is filed under the name uncultured eukaryote. Its description in RNAcentral is "partial 18S ribosomal RNA". It matches the Rfam family "Eukaryotic small subunit ribosomal RNA", at positions 6 to 298 of the family's 1831-position model. The record is from RNAcentral.
GGUUGAUCCUGCCAGUAGUCAUAUGCUUGUCUCAAAGAUUAAGCCAUGCAUGUCUAAGUAUAAGCAAUUUAUACAGUGAAACUGCGAAUGGCUCAUUAAAUCAGUUAUAGUUUAUUUGAUAGUACCUUUACUACUUGGAUACCCGUGGUAAUUCUAGAGCUAAUACAUGCUAAAAACCCCGACCGUUUGGCAGGGGUGUAUUUAUUAGAUAAAAAAUCAAUGCCCCCCGUGGGCUCUUUGAUGAUUCAUAAUAACUUUUCGAAUCGCAUGGCUUCUUGCCGGCGAUGGUUCAU